GUCUACUUCCAUGCCACCCUGAACGCACCUGACCUCGUCUGAUCUCGGAAGCAAAGUAGAGUGGGGCCUGGUUAGUACUUGGAUGGGAGAAAACAGUAUAGUGAGUGCAGGGAUAAGAAUGGACA
This 125-nucleotide ribosomal RNA is filed under the name Microcebus murinus (gray mouse lemur). Lineage: Eukaryota; Metazoa; Chordata; Mammalia; Primates; Cheirogaleidae. The record is from RNAcentral.